UAAAACACCUGUCCAAAGGUUGCUCACUAUAGAAGCUUAUAUGCCAAAAUCAUCGCAGACAAACAUGAUGACAUUAUGGCCAAGUUUGGUGCAAUUCUGGCACAGGGAAUCAUUGAUGCAGGAGGACGUAACAUGACCGUUUCCCUGCAGUCCCGCACGGGUCACAUGAACAUGGAGGCAGUGGUGGGAAUGCUGGUGU
This is a long non-coding RNA of Saccostrea cuccullata (small rock oyster), 199 nucleotides long. RefSeq lists it as uncharacterized. The record is from RefSeq and is a predicted model, not a curated record. The transcript is spliced from 3 exons. Lineage: Eukaryota; Metazoa; Mollusca; Bivalvia; Ostreida; Ostreidae.